CUCAUUUGACAUUUCAUAGUGAUGAUAACUUUGCCCGGUGCUCAACGAUUUCUUGUCAAACCAUGUUUUUCGUAUUGGCUAAUAUAAGUUAUCAACUGAAAUGACGUCAUGAGCACCAAAUCAACUUGAAAGCCACCGUAACACAUUUGACAGGUGUUUUUGUAUCGAUAGUUUAAAAAGUGGUAUUCCGUAAGCCAAGUGACCAUCAAAAGGUUGAUCACUAUAUUAUUUUUAUCUGCUGUGAAAGGAACUAGUAUUGAGCAGUGUUUUGUAAAUUCUCAGUGAUCGACACUAUAAUCCGGAUAAGUUAAAUAUUACAAAUUUAUAAACAAGAUAUAGGAAGAAUAGCACGUAUAUGAUUUAACGUCUUAUUUCAAGUGUUUCUAUACUAUAAGUAACAAAAAAUAUAUAGAUAACAUUGAGUUAAUGUGUACUAUGAUAGAUAAUAAUUUUUUAAGUAUAAAUACAUAGCCAUUUUAUUGGUCAAAAAAGGUUUUUACUGAGCAAUAGAAGUGUAGGUACCUAAUCAUAUAAUUUAUAAAGUAUGGCCUGUGCUUUUUUACUUGGAUUUGCGGAAGUAGAGAGAAAGAGGAAAGCAUUAAGAAUUGAAAGGCGACGCUUACGUGAUGCUAGUGAUCCUGUGGUGAUCCUUUACAGCUGCCUGAAAGAGAAUUUAUAGCGAAUUUUCGUUUGACAAAGGCUGGUUUUCAACUGGUGGUGGAGAUGUUGAAAUAGGAAACAUUUUCCUUCAUUGAAUGUAUUAAUAGUGACUCAGGAUAUGUGCAACGGCCCUGGAUGAUGACACCAAUAUUAGGAGCAGGACCUGUGGACACCUGAAGAAUACUAUACCAACCUUCAUUGCCGUGUCAGGAAUACUGUUGAACGGUGUUUAGGGUUAUUCAAAGCACGUUGGAGUUGUUAAACUUUGUUGGCCCAUAGAGUACUUCAUUAUGAUCCAGUUACUGCUGGUAAAAUAGUGAAUGCAUGUGUUGUCCCGCACAAUAUUGCAAAUAUGCAGAAUGCCAAAAUACCCGAAAUACAGGCAUGUCUCAGGAUUUAGGAGAGGAUGCUAUAGUUGAGGUUAUACAAGAUCUUACCGAACAACUAGUACAGAGACUAUGGAAUUCAAGAAGAUGAUAUGUUAAAUAAAUAUUUAUUGUGCUUAAAAAUGUAUUAGUUUUAACUGAAAAUUAUUUAUACUACUUGUAUCUGUGAUUAAACAUAUUUUCUUACUUAGAUAAUGUUAUAGCUUCUAAUUGAAUAUGACAAUAUUUCUUGUAUAAUUUAUAAAUUAUCAUACAUUGUUAAUGCUCUGAUAUUAUAAGUGUGAUGUAGUUGUGUCAAUUAGGUAAUAGUUAAAACAAGGUAUUUAAGUAAUUAAACUUUUGAUAUCUAAAAAAA
Colias croceus (clouded yellow) is the source of this 1401-nucleotide long non-coding RNA. RefSeq lists it as uncharacterized. The record is from RefSeq and is a predicted model, not a curated record. The transcript is spliced from 2 exons. Lineage: Eukaryota; Metazoa; Arthropoda; Insecta; Lepidoptera; Pieridae.